Molecule: unclassified non-coding RNA, 440 nt
Filed under: soil metagenome
Description: partial contains 5.8S ribosomal RNA, internal transcribed spacer 2, and large subunit ribosomal RNA
Rfam family: 5.8S ribosomal RNA (bases 1-121)
Source: RNAcentral
GAUGAAGAACGUAGCGAAAUGCGAUACGUAAUGCGAAUUGCAGAAUUCAGUGAAUCAUCAAAUCUUUGAACGCAAAUUGCGCUCUCGGGAUAGGCCUGAGAGCACGCCUCUUUGAGUAUCGAUUCCACCACCUCCAGAACAAUCUUUUUGGUUGACACUGGGAGUUUGAGUGUUAUUUAUCUUGACUGAUAAUCACUUGAAAUGGAAUGGAUAUUGAGGGGACUUAACUGAUCAAUACAGUUCUGAGUCUGUUUUCAUUGUUGAAUUUGAACGUGGAUAAUUGUCCAAUGUUUUAGAUUUGAUGAUGGAAAUUGCAUGAACUUGUGUGUUGGUCGACUUAGUCAAACCUCACCUAACUAAUUAAAAUCGAAAAGAUUAAGAAUUAGAUCUCAAAUGAAGCGAGACAACCCGCUGAACUUAAGCAUAUCAAAAGCGGAGGA